CCCCCCGGGGCUCCCCCGCGCCCCCGACCCCCGGCUCGGCCAAAUCCAGGCACCCCAAAACUCGGAGGAGCCCCAAAACCAGGAGUGACAAAACCCUGAGAGCUGGAGCACGGAGACCCCAAAACCAGAGACCCGGAGCCCAGAGAACCAGAGUCCAGACACCCCAAAACCCAGAGAACCGGAGCCCAGAGACCCCAAAACCUUCAGAGCUAUAACCCAGACACCCCAAAACCCAGAGAACCGGAGCCCAGAGACCCCAGAACCUCCAAAACCCAGAGAGCCGGAGUCCAGACACCCCAAAACCUGCAGAGCUCUAACCCAGACACCCCAAAACCCAGAGAGCCGGAGCCCAGAGACCCCAAAACCCAGAGAGCCAGAGCCCAGAGACCCCAAAACCUGCGGAGCCAGAGCCCAGACACCCCAAAACCUGCGGAGCCAGAGCCCAGACACCC
Molecule: non-coding RNA, 452 nt
Organism: Lonchura striata (white-rumped munia)
Lineage: Eukaryota; Metazoa; Chordata; Aves; Passeriformes; Estrildidae
Source: RefSeq, a predicted model, not a curated record